This 1006-nucleotide ribosomal RNA is filed under the name Beauveria bassiana. Its description in RNAcentral is "SSU rRNA". It matches the Rfam family "Eukaryotic small subunit ribosomal RNA", at positions 94 to 1110 of the family's 1831-position model. The record is from RNAcentral. Lineage: Eukaryota; Fungi; Ascomycota; Sordariomycetes; Hypocreales; Cordycipitaceae.
UGGCUCAUUAUAUAAGUUAUCGUUUAUUUGAUAGUACCUUACUACUUGGAUAACCGUGGUAAUUCUAGAGCUAAUACAUGCUGAAAAUCCCGACUUCGGAAGGGAGGUAUUUAUUAGAUUAAAAACCAAUGCCCUCUGGGCUCCUUGGUGAUUCAUAAUAACUUUUCGAAUCGCACGGCCUUGCGCCGGCGAUGGUUCAUUCAAAUUUCUUCCCUAUCAACUUUCGAUGUUUGGGUAUUGGCCAAACAUGGUCGCAACGGGUAACGGAGGGUUAGGGCUCGACCCCGGAGAAGGAGCCUGAGAAACGGCUACUACAUCCAAGGAAGGCAGCAGGCGCGCAAAUUACCCAAUCCCGAUUCGGGGAGGUAGUGACAAUAAAUACUGAUACAGGGCUCUUUUGGGUCUUGUAAUUGGAAUGAGUACAAUUUAAAUCUCUUAACGAGGAACAAUUGGAGGGCAAGUCUGGUGCCAGCAGCCGCGGUAAUUCCAGCUCCAAUAGCGUAUAUUAAAGUUGUUGUGGUUAAAAAGCUCGUAGUUGAACCUUGGGCCUGGCUGGCCGGUCCGCCUCACCGCGUGUACUGGUCCGGCCGGGCCUUUCCCUCUGUGGAACCUCAUGCCCUUCACUGGGUGUGGCGGGGAAACAGGACUUUUACUUUGAAAAAAUUAGAGUGCUCCAGGCAGGCCUAUGCUCGAAUACAUUAGCAUGGAAUAAUAAAAUAGGACGCGUGGUUCUAUUUUGUUGGUUUCUAGGACCGCCGUAAUGAUUAAUAGGGACAGUCGGGGGCAUCAGUAUUCAAUUGUCAGAGGUGAAAUUCUUAGAUUUAUUGAAGACUAACUACUGCGAAAGCAUUUGCCAAGGAUGUUUUCAUUAAUCAAGAACGAAAGUUAGGGGAUCGAAGACGAUCAGAUAACGUCGUAGUCUAACCCAUAAACUAUGCCGACUAGGGAUCGGACGAUGUUAUUUUUNNGACGCGUUCGGCACCUUACGAGNAAUCAAAGGGCUUGG